Daphnia carinata is the source of this 524-nucleotide long non-coding RNA. RefSeq lists it as uncharacterized. The record is from RefSeq and is a predicted model, not a curated record. Lineage: Eukaryota; Metazoa; Arthropoda; Branchiopoda; Diplostraca; Daphniidae. The transcript has 2 exons.
UGAGUCGGUUGAAAGGUCGAAGAUUCAUUCUAGUUUCUUCCUUGCACAAGCAAACAUCUUCCACGGCAAUUCUUCUCUCCCGGAAUCAGGAUGCAGUGGCGCAUUUUGUUAUUUUUCGCUUUAGCUAUCGUUUUUUGUUUUGUGAUUGAACCAGGCGAAGCUAAUCGUCAGCCGAUCUUUGUCAAACACCAAACUACUACACCACGUUACAACAGGAAACAAGUAGCCCUAGCUCCAAGUCGUGGUUGUCCUACUGGACAUUUGUUGGAUAAGAACGGCAUCUGCAGGAUGAUAUGGCUUGGAUGAAUAUUCACAAAAGCGAACAAUCAGUCAGCAGUCUGCGGUUUACGCUCGACUGUUUGGAAAAAAUGCACGCACGUCCUCAUGCAUAAUGAAUGACUGAGACUUACGCCAAUCUAAAAAUACUGAGGAGGAAAGACGUAUGUAAUCGUAUUGGAAGCUAUUCGUCUUUGGUUUUUUUCGCAAGUUGAAAAUACACGAUAAAUAUACUAUUAAUAAAAUCA